RNAcentral lists this ribosomal RNA (503 nucleotides) under uncultured bacterium. RNAcentral's name for it is "bacterial SSU rRNA". It matches the Rfam family "Bacterial small subunit ribosomal RNA", at positions 8 to 523 of the family's 1533-position model. The record is from RNAcentral.
AGAGUUUGAUCCUGGCUCAGGACGAACGCUGGCGGCGUGCUUAACACAUGCAAGUCGAACGAUGAUGCCCUGCUUGCAGGGUGGAUUAGUGGCGAACGGGUGAGUAACACGUGGGUGAUCUACCCUGCACUUCGGGAUAAGCCUGGGAAACUGGGUCUAAUACCGGAUAUGACCCUCCUUUAGUGUGGGGGGGUGGAAAGCUUUUGCGGUGUGGGAUGAGCCUGCGGCCUAUCAGCUUGUUGGUGGGGUAAUGGCCUACCAAGGCGUCGACGGGUAGCCGGCCUGAGAGGGUGAUCGGCCACAUUGGGACUGAGACACGGCCCAGACUCCUACGGGAGGCAGCAGUGGGGAAUAUUGCACAAUGGGCGAAAGCCUGAUGCAGCGACGCCGCGUGGGGGAUGAAGGCCUUCGGGUUGUAAACUCCUUUCGCUAGGGACGAAGAUGUAUUUUGACGGUACCUGGAGAAGAAGCACCGGCUAACUACGUGCCAGCAGCCGCGGUAA